Molecule: ribosomal RNA, 254 nt
Filed under: uncultured bacterium
Lineage: Bacteria
Description: partial 16S ribosomal RNA
Rfam family: Bacterial small subunit ribosomal RNA
Source: RNAcentral
UACGUAGGGUGCAAGCGUUGUCCGGAUUUACUGGGCGUAAAGAGCGCGUAGGCGGUCUUGUAAGUGUGAAGUGAAAUCUCCAGGGCUCAACCCGGAAACUGCUUUGCAUACUGCGAGACUAGAGGGAUGCAGAGGUUUGUGGAAUUCCUGGUGUAGCGGUGAAAUGCGUUGAUAUCAGGAGGAACACCCAUGGCGAAGGCAGCAAACUGGGCAUCAUCUGACGCUGAGGCGCGAAAGCGUGGGUAGCAAACAGG